GAAUCUUCCACAAUGGACGAAAGUCUGAUGGAGCAAUGCCGCGUGAGUGAAGAAGGUUUGCGGAUCGUAAAACUCUGUUGUGAGGGAAGAACAAGUACGAGAGUAACUGCUCGUACCUUGACGGUACCUCAUUAGCAAGCCACGGCUAACCACGUUCCCGCCGCCGCGGUAAUACGUAGGUGGCAAUCGUUGUCCGGAAUUAUUGGGCAUAAAGCGCGCGCAGGCGGUCCUUUAAGUCUGAUGUGAAAUCCCACGGCUCAACCGUGGAAGGUCAUUGGAAACUGGGGGACUUGAGUACAGAAGAGGAAAGCGGAAUUCCAAGUGUAGCGGUGAAAUGCGUAGAGAUUUGGAGGAACACCAGUGGCGAAGGCGGCUUUCUGGUCUGUAACUGACGCUGAGGCGCGAAAGCGUGGGGAGCAAACAG
RNAcentral lists this ribosomal RNA (424 nucleotides) under uncultured bacterium. RNAcentral's name for it is "bacterial SSU rRNA". It matches the Rfam family "Bacterial small subunit ribosomal RNA", at positions 359 to 775 of the family's 1533-position model. The record is from RNAcentral.